GGGUUGUGCGAUAAGUAUAUUGGUAGAUAUAUAUAUAAUACACAGGUUAACCGGUAAAUUAGUUUAGAAAGUUAAUAAAAGUUAUUCUAUCAAAUUUUAUAAGUAUUAGAUGUCCAAAAAUUGUGAAGUUAAAAGUUAUAAGUCGUUUAGUGUGUUCUCUAGACUAGGUCUGAUAAUUUAUGUGUUGGUCGAUCUCAUGCUUGGAAUGGAUGUUGAUUGCUACCUCGACUGUUUAGCUAGGUUGUAAGAACAUGAUUGUCGUAAGUAACAAUAUAUCGAUAACUAGUGUACGUAAUGUCUCGUCAUUAAAUAGGUUAUUUCUCUUUUGCGUAGCAUCGUAAUAUCUAGUGUUAUUGUUCUUUAUAUGCAUUCAUAUGCAUAAUGCAUUUCAUUCAGGACGAUAAAUAAUCGCGUGAUGUGGAAGAAAAACCAAGUUGACCCCAAACGCGGGCUAAUCUGCAAGCUGAAGCUGAAGAAUCAACCUGAAGAUGGUUAAAUCAAGCAAGUGCUCGGUCGACGAAUACUCGUCAGGCGGAUGUCACCUAACAACACUAACCUAGUGUUACUCAGGCAAGCCCCGGUGCAUUUGUCACCUUCCUUGAGGUUUUUAAAAUCUUUCUCACUUGAUUGCUGCAUUAGGUGAUAGGAGUUGAUUGAUAAAAGAAUUCAUGCAUUACCUUCCUUGAAUUUGAUUACCUUCCUUGAUCACCCGUUUUACAAAAGAUUUUGAUGCUUAGCCUUGCUUUAGAAAACAAAAUGUUUUGUUUUUACAAACUAUGAUGUGGCAAAGGUGGGUGGGAUGUUUU
RNAcentral lists this long non-coding RNA (806 nucleotides) under Zea mays. RNAcentral describes it as "long non-coding RNA NONZMAT003356". Lineage: Eukaryota; Viridiplantae; Streptophyta; Magnoliopsida; Poales; Poaceae. The record is from RNAcentral.